Molecule: long non-coding RNA, 4026 nt
Organism: Gadus morhua (Atlantic cod)
Lineage: Eukaryota; Metazoa; Chordata; Actinopteri; Gadiformes; Gadidae
Source: Ensembl
GGAGUUAAGUAUGCAUGCAUUAAACCUAGGUUAUAUAUGUUCUACAAGUGUUGUGUGCUUUUUGUAUUAAGAAAUCUCAUCUUUCCUAGAUGCCAAUAUCUGUUAAAGGAAAUUGCCACGACUAUAUUAAAUAUAAAUAUGACACGUUACUUAAAAAAUAUAUCUUUGGUUAAACGCUUCACCGGCCCCACCUGCAACACGAAGCACCCCAGGGUGUCAGGGGAUUACGCAGAAUGAAAGAUGGUGAUGUGCCCUCGGUGUGAACAGAGGGCUGGGCUAAAACAAGAGCUAUUCCUCUAACCGUAAACCACACCUUCCAACCGAGCAACUACAGCCAACAGGAAGAACUCCUUGUUCUUCUGUGCUCUUUAGGAUGUCCAGCACUGUCUUAUCCAUCCUGGUGACCUUUGUGUGUCUUGCACCGAUACUGGAGGUCAACAGCACACUGGAUGACCGAAAGAAGAAGAUUCAAGCUGUGGAAUUGGAGUUCAAUUCCCUGAAGGACUACUACAAUACCCGGAAGGAAGCCGUCGCUGAAGAGUUCAAAGAGAUUGAAAGUGAAAUGGACGCUUCAUCGGCCAUUUUACAACAAAGCAGUGGGCCAAAUUUUGCGGCCAGCAAGAAGAACUCUGAGACACUAAAGGAGUGGUACACUGAAACUAAAGAUACAUUUCUCCUGUUCACUGAAGUCUUUGACAACGCGUAUGUGUUCUUCCAGAAGGGAAUCGAGGAAGUCAAAGACCUUGUCCAUGUAAACGAGGACUACUACAAUACCCGGAAGGAAGCCGUCGCUGAAGAGUUCAAAGAGAUUGAAAGAGAACUGGACGCUACAUCGGCCAUAUUACAACAAAGCAGUGGGCCACAUUUUGAGGCCAGCAAGAAGAACUCUGAGACACUGAAGGAGUGGUACACUGAAACUAAAGAUACAUUUCUCCUGUUCACUGAAGUCUUUGACAACGCGUAUGAGUUCUUCCAGAAGGGAAUCGAGGAAGUCAAAGACCUUGUCCAUGAAAACGAGGACCACUUCAAUACUCGGAUGGACGCGCUCGCAGAAGAGUUCAAAGAGAUUGAAAGAGAACUGGAAGCUUCAUUGGCCAUGUUACAUCAAGGCAGAAGGCCCAAGUUUGUGGCAAGCAAGAAUUACCUUGAGAACCUGAGGGAGUGGUACUCUGAAACUAAAGAUAAAUUUCUCCUGUUCACUGAAGUCUUUGACAACGCGUAUGAGUUCAUCCAUAAGGGAAUCGAGGGAGUCAAAGACUUUUUCCGUGAAACCGAGGGGAACAAAGAUGAAUUAUAAUCACACCUUAUUAACAUUAGCAUUAGUUAUACAGUAAUAAGCAUUAUUAUAUGGCAUUAGAAUAGGGGUGAGUGGGUUCUUCAUCGCUGAUGCGUCACUGCGUCACACACAGGAUGAUGGAGGGUGGAACCUGUUGGCCCGUGUCAGAAAGUGUCAGUCAGGGUCAGAGAGUUUAGGUUUCUGACUGCUUUAUUGGUUAGUUUUUGUGGUCAUAUUUAGGAUUAACUGAGUGAACAUCUGUUCAAAUGUCAUGAUUUUUGGGGUUUUGGGUCUUUCUUUUCACAAUAUCUCUUCUGUCUGAGUUUGUAUACAGAUCUUGUAAACUCUCCCUAAUUACUGGUAAAUAUACGAAUAGAUAAAUGUUUUUGUCAUAUCUUGGUAUUCUCAUUUGUUUGGAGUAUUAUUUUUUUUUGCCUUGUGAAAAAGUAUAGAAGAGAAGCUGAUAUUUAUUUGGCAACAGACUUUGACAAACCGAAUGCAGGUCUCUGAACACGCCCUAGCCUUAAGAGAAAUGCAGACUCCCGUACAAACACAACAAACUAAAACAUGGGAACAAAAUAACAAGUGGAAAUCUAGUUGAACGUUCACUGAUGUGAUUAUUGUUACUAUAUUAUGCUAUUUACCAUUUUAUCGCAAAUACCAAAUAUAUAUAUGUUAAUCUCUCGCAUUUUGGUGGAGUGCAUUCGAUGUCCCAAUUUGGACAAAUGUAAACGCAAGAACAACAGAAGAAUCUUUAUAGGUUUAGGUUUAGGUGUGGUCGCUCAGUGCUUUGCAAAACCAAAACAAACAAAAGCUCUCAAUCAUUCAAAGCCGGUCUGCCUCGAUAUGGAACUACUCUGUGCUGAAGGUCUUGUGCGCAGUUCUUAGUAACUUAGUAACAACAAGCGGUAAGCAGGCCCAUAUUAACACGAUACACCCCCCCCCCCCCCCCCCCCCAAUACACACCAAAAAUAUCAGACCUAAGCAAGGGGAUUUCUUCAAUGUAAUUGACUAACUUGUCCAACCACAUACAUGUAGGCAUAUGAUCAAUGAGCAAUGUAUUCCAAUGUCUCAAUUCAAAAUGUCUAUCAAUUCAAAAAGCACAGCGCUCAAAUCAAAACAGAAAAAUCAAUUUAAUGUUUUUGACCCUUUUGAUCUACUCCUCAUAUAGGCGUGUAACUCCUUCAAUAUCUCAAGUGGCAUUUUCGUAUUUCUCACACUGAUCUCUCUGCGAUACAAGAACGCAGUGACUCCAAAAGACGUUCUGCAUUGUCUAAAGUUAUGUCGUGAUUUAUGAGUCGUGAAGGUCGAAUCAUAUAAAGUGGUUUGUCUUUGAGUUUGUGUCAGUGUGUACGUGUGCGUGUGCGUCUGUGUAGGUGAGCGUGUGUUUUGUUGAUGUGUUGCUCAAUGGGUAGUAUUACGUAUGCAUGUUUUCCAUGUUUCCAUUGUUUGAUCAUGUUUGGCAUUUCAUUUACCCAUUAUAAUAUAUAGAAAAUAGACAAUUAGAUAUAGAUAAUAUAUCAUUACUGCCAACAAAUAGCUUUGGUUAAUCAAUCUAAUGCUACGUUCAAUGCCAAAUGUUAAAUGCUAAUGCCAUAUGCUACGUGCUGUGUGUGAAAUGAAAAGUGAUAAAAAAAUAUAGUGUUAAUGCUAAAUGCAUUGUGUUACAUGUUACAGGCUUUGUGCGGUAUACUACAUUCUCUGUCCAUAAUGCUCACGAUAAACAAAAUUUUCUAAAUGUGGUCUGAUAAAUGAUAUAUGCUAAAGGCUAUGGGUUGAAUGCCAAAUGCUUUGUGCUUUAUGCUAAAUACUUUUGAUAGAUGACAUGCUAUGGGCUUUGUGCUGUUUGCUAAAUGAUCUUUCCAAAAUGCAAUCUGAUUCCGUCUGAUAAAUUAUACAUGCUAAAGGGUAUUUGUUGAAUGCUAAAUGCUUUGUGCUGUAUGCUAAAUACUUUGUGAUAGAUUAUAUGUUCUAAAUGUUAGCAGCUAAAUGCUAUGUGCUAAAUGCUUACGGGGCUAAAUGCUGUUGCUGUUACAGUUGAAAGACUGAGUCAGAUGAGAGAUGGAAACAGGUCAAAGAUCGUAAGCCAAAGAUCAAUGGCGUGUGUGUGUGUGUGAAUAAUGGCUGUCCAUUUCAGGUCACCACUUACCACAGGGGAUUACAUCAGGAGUGUGUGUGUGUGUGUGUGUGUGUGUGUGUGUGUGUGUGUGUGUGUGUGUGUGUGUGUGUGUGUGUGGACUUACACACAGCGACAGCGAGAGAGAGAGGAUGUAGCAAAUACCCAAAUAAAUGUUUUGAACUCGCACUUUUUUCUGGGUAUGAUUCAUCUGUCAGCCAAACAUAAAACUUCACACAAUCACCCAACCACCAUCUCCAACAACCCCCUUAAUUUCCUCACCCAUCUCACACACACACACACACACACACACACACACACACACACACACACACACACACACACACACACACACACACACACACACACACACACACACACACACACACACACACACAUACACACACACACACACACACACACACACACACACACACACACACACACACACAGAAGUGAUUAUGACGGUGGUCAAAGGAUUUUUCCAAUCUAUUUUCAAUGUAUUCACUUCCUCCUGGCCUCAACCAUUGACGUCACGGCCACAGAUCAAUGCACCGGCUCCAAAUCAGAUUUUGACUUCUUGCAUGUUGCAUUGAUUGAAUCAAUGCUUCCUACUUCCAACAGCGGACGCAAG